RNAcentral lists this ribosomal RNA (94 nucleotides) under Enorma phocaeensis. The record is from RNAcentral. Lineage: Bacteria; Bacillati; Actinomycetota; Coriobacteriia; Coriobacteriales; Coriobacteriaceae.
GCACGCCCGGUCCCGUUCCGAACCCGGAAGCUAAGCCCCCGAGCGCCGAGAGUACUGCGGUGUCAGACCGUGGGAGGGCAGGGCGCCGCUGACC